Molecule: unclassified non-coding RNA, 221 nt
Filed under: Hevea brasiliensis (rubber tree)
Lineage: Eukaryota; Viridiplantae; Streptophyta; Magnoliopsida; Malpighiales; Euphorbiaceae
Source: RNAcentral
UGAAAUCUGAGUUGAUGGCCAGGACAAAAGAUUUUGAAGAACUGAGCAAAAGAUCCCUUGGAUCAGAUUCUAUUUUAAGAGUGGUUCAAGUGGUUGAGGGAGUCAUUUCUCUAGAUAACUUUGAAAUCAACAUUAAUGAGCCAGUAUCAUGUCUAGAGUCCCUGACCUCUCUCCUUGUUCAGAAAUAUAAAGAGGCUAUUGAAGAUGUGAGGUUGUCCAGG